GAUUCUGCAGUAAUUCCAUUUAGGUGGAUGUAUUCCAUUGCACUCUCUAUUGCUGAAAUACCAUUGUGCACGCGUUGGAGGCAGUGGGGAAGUUAUAGGUACUUCGAAACGUCUUCUUUGUCCAUUUGGAAGACUAUGAACUUCAGGACUUCGACUUCGAACUCGGGAUGCAGGAGGUUGAUUCUCAGAGUUGCUAAAUGAGCCAUUGCUAUCACUAGAUGAACCAUUAGUUAUAGUAUUAGUGUUAUUUUGUAACUGAUGAUACAUUGCAGAUAAUGCAUUUGAAGAAGGCAUCUCUGUAUCAUGCAAAUUAUACAACAACAACUCUUUUAUAUACCUCCUGAGACCAUACAACCACAACUCCCUUAUAUACCUCCUCAGACCGACUCUCUUUUCAAAAAUAGUGAUAAUAAAAGUGUAUUAUUUAA
Molecule: long non-coding RNA, 428 nt
Organism: Cannabis sativa
Lineage: Eukaryota; Viridiplantae; Streptophyta; Magnoliopsida; Rosales; Cannabaceae
Exons: 2
Source: RefSeq, a predicted model, not a curated record